UACAGAGGGGGCAAGCGUUGUUCGGAAUUACUGGGCGUAAAGGGCGCGUAGGCGGCCUGCUAAGUCGAACGUGAAAUCCCCGAGCUUAACUCGGGAACUGCGUCCGAUACUGACAGGCUUGAAUCCGGGAGAGGGAUGCGGAAUUCCAGGUGUAGCGGUGAAAUGCGUAGAUAUCUGGAGGAACACCGGUGGCGAAGGCGGCAUCCUGGACCGGCAUUGACGCUGAGGCGCGAAAGCUAGGGGAGCAAACGGG
This 253-nucleotide ribosomal RNA is filed under the name uncultured bacterium. Its description in RNAcentral is "partial 16S ribosomal RNA". It matches the Rfam family "Bacterial small subunit ribosomal RNA", at positions 524 to 776 of the family's 1533-position model. The record is from RNAcentral.